RNAcentral lists this ribosomal RNA (687 nucleotides) under Triticum aestivum (bread wheat). Its description in RNAcentral is "partial small subunit ribosomal RNA". The record is from RNAcentral. Lineage: Eukaryota; Viridiplantae; Streptophyta; Magnoliopsida; Poales; Poaceae.
AUGGAGGGAUGUUGCCGUAGGUGGAGGCCUAGUUACGGGGCUUUCCUUCAAGCAUUAGAAUUUUAUCAGGAACAUCCCUCCAUCUAUGUGCAACCUCAAGUACCUGAUCCACCUCGACGUUUCAUACAGCAGGCUCACUGGGAGAUUCCCUGGCAUUACGUUCUACGCCUACUCCUAGCUACGCAAGUCAGUGGUUCGAUCCUUGUUUGGAUCUGGCAGCACCAAAAGCUCGAGAUCUUAUACUUUUAUGAUAGUGGACUCAACAGGAAGUUGUCGUGCAGCAUCAUUGUGGUGAAUUUGAUUAAAAUAGACUUACUAACCAUUAUCAUCCUAUACAACAACGAGUUCCUAGGCCCCAUCCUCGGAAGCAUUGGCCUCAUUCCCAAACUCCAAUACAUCCAGUUGUUUGACAAUAUGAUCUCGAGUGAGGUACCACAACAACUUGGGAAGCACUCGUCGCUCAGAAAUUUUGAGGACCGCAACAACUUUUCUAGCUCACUACCGGAGCAGAAUAACCAACUCUCGGGAGAGCUACCUGUCAACAGAAGCAAUCUCCACAUGCUUUCUGAAUUGUCACUAAGUGCGAACAAGAUAUCUGGAUCCAUACCAACAUCAAUUGAAUUGUUGCAGAAUCUCAAAUCACUUGACCUCAGCAACAAUCGUAUAUCAGGUGCAAUACCGGCAUAG